This 397-nucleotide ribosomal RNA is filed under the name uncultured bacterium. RNAcentral describes it as "bacterial SSU rRNA". It matches the Rfam family "Bacterial small subunit ribosomal RNA", at positions 30 to 429 of the family's 1533-position model. The record is from RNAcentral.
AUUGAACGCUGGCGGCAUGCCUUACACAUGCAAGUCGAACGGCAGCACGGGAGCAAUCCUGGUGGCGAGUGGCGAACGGGUGAGUAAUAUAUCGGAACGUGCCCAGUCGUGGGGGAUAACGUAGCGAAAGCUACGCUAAUACCGCAUACGAUCUAUGGAUGAAAGCGGGGGAUCGCAAGACCUCGCGCGAUUGGAGCGGCCGAUAUCAGAUUAGGUAGUUGGUGAGGUAAAGGCUCACCAAGCCGACGAUCUGUAGCUGGUCUGAGAGGACGACUAGCCACACUGGGACUGAGACACGGCCCAGACUCCUACGGGAGGCAGCAGUGGGGGAAUUUUGGGACAAUGGGCGCAAGCCUGAUCCAGCAAUGCCGCGUGCAGGAUGAAGGCCUGGUGUAAU